UGGGGAAUUUUGGACAAUGGGCGAAAGCCUGAUCCAGCAAUGCCGCGUGUGUGAAGAAGGCCUUCGGGUUGUAAAGCACUUUUGUCCGGAAAGAAAUCCUUGGCUCUAAUACAGUCGGGGGAUGACGGUACCGGAAGAAUAAGCACCGGCUAACUACGUGCCAGCAGCCGCGGUAAUACGUAGGGUGCAAGCGUUAAUCGGAAUUACUGGGCGUAAAGCGUGCGCAGGCGGUUUGCUAAGACCGAUGUGAAAUCCCCGGGCUCAACCUGGGAACUGCAUUGGUGACUGGCAGGCUAGAGUAUGGCAGAGGGGGGUAGAAUUCCACGUGUAGCAGUGAAAUGCGUAGGGAUGUGGAGGAAUACCGAUGGCGAAGGCAGCCCCCUGGGCCAAUACUGACGCUCAUGCACGAAAGCGUGGGGAGCAAACAGGAUUAGAUACCCUGGUAGUCCACGCCCUAAACGAUGUCAACUAGUUGUUGGGGAUUCAUUUCCUUAGUAACGUAGCUAACGCGUGAAGUUGACCGCCUGGGGAGUACGGUCGCAAGAUUAAAACUUAAAGGAAUUGACGGGGUCAUAGCUGUUUCCU
RNAcentral lists this ribosomal RNA (585 nucleotides) under uncultured bacterium. Its description in RNAcentral is "partial 16S ribosomal RNA". It matches the Rfam family "Bacterial small subunit ribosomal RNA", at positions 355 to 1375 of the family's 1533-position model. The record is from RNAcentral.